GAUGAACGCUGGCGGCGUGCCUAAUACAUGCAAGUCGAGCGAACAGACGAGGGGCUUGCUCCUCUGACGUUAGCGGCGGACGGGUGAGUAACACGUGGAUAACCUACCUAUAAGACUGGGAUAACUUCGGGAAACCGGAGCUAAUACCGGAUAAUAUAUUGAACCGCAUGGUUCAAUAGUGAAAGACGGUUUUGCUGUCACUUAUAGAUGGAUCCGCGCCGCAUUAGCUAGUUGGUAAGGUAACGGCCUACCAAGGCAACGAUGCGUAGCCGACCUGAGAGGGUGAUCGGCCGCACUGGAACUGAGACACGGUCCAGACUCCUACGGGAGGCAGCAGUAGGGAAUCUUCCGCAAUGGGCGAAAGCCUGACGGAGCAACGCCGCGUGAGUGAUGAAGGUCUUCGGAUCGUAAAACUCUGUUAUUAGGGAAGAACAAAUGUGUAAGUAACUAUGCACGUCUUGACGGUACCUAAUCAGAGAGCCACGGCUAACUACGUG
This 497-nucleotide ribosomal RNA is filed under the name uncultured bacterium. RNAcentral's name for it is "partial 16S ribosomal RNA". It matches the Rfam family "Bacterial small subunit ribosomal RNA", at positions 28 to 507 of the family's 1533-position model. The record is from RNAcentral.